This 540-nucleotide ribosomal RNA is filed under the name Jianyunia aff. sakaguchii. RNAcentral's name for it is "partial large subunit ribosomal RNA". It matches the Rfam family "Eukaryotic large subunit ribosomal RNA", at positions 100 to 652 of the family's 3401-position model. The record is from RNAcentral. Lineage: Eukaryota; Fungi; Basidiomycota; Agaricostilbomycetes; Agaricostilbales; Jianyuniaceae.
GGGAAAAGCUCAACUUUGUAAUCUGGCUCUUUCAGAGUCCGAGUUGUAGUCUAGAGAGGCAUUGCCUGGUGAAUUGCUUGGAUAUGGCUGUUGGAAUGCAGCGUCAAAGAGGGUGAGAAUCCCGUCUGUGCCAAGUCUUGAAGCCGUUGUGCAUUGUCUUCUAAGAGUCGAGUUGUUUGGGAAUGCAGCUCUAAUUGGGUGGUAAAUUCCAUCUAAAGCUAAAUAUUGGCGAGAGACCGAUAGCGAACAAGUACCGUGAGGGAAAGAUGAAAAGCACUUUGGAAAGAGAAUGAAACAGUAUGUGAAAUUGCUGGAAGGGAAACGAUUGAAGUUAGACUUGCGUUUGCAACAUUCAGCCUUUCUUCGGACUGGUGUAUUUGUUGCUUUUGCAGGCCAGCAUCAGUUUGCUUUGGUGUAUAAGGGUAAGGAGAAUGUGGCAUCCUCGUGAUGUGUUAUAGCUCCUUACUAGAUGCAUCGUCGCAGACUGAGGAACGCAGCUUUAUGCUUAGGAUGCUGGUUGAAUAGCUUUAACCGACCCGU